GGGAGGCAGCAGUGAGGAAUAUUGGUCAAUGGACGCAAGUCUGAACCAGCCAUGCCGCGUGAAGGAUGAAGGCCCUCUGGGUUGUAAACUUCUUUUAUCUGGGACGAAAAAAGGGGAUUCUUCCUCACUUGACGGUACCAGAGGAAUAAGCACCGGCUAACUCCGUGCCAGCAGCCGCGGUAAUACGGAGGGUGCAAGCGUUAUCCGGAUUUACUGGGUUUAAAGGGUGCGUAGGUGGGUCUGUAAGUCAGUGGUGAAAUCUCCGAGCUUAACUUGGAAACUGCCAUUGAUACUAUAGGUCUUGAAUUAUCUGGAGGUAAGCGGAAUAUGUCAUGUAGCGGUGAAAUGCUUAGAUAUGACAUAGAACACCCAUUGCGAAGGCAGCUUACUACGGAUUGAUUGACACUGAGGCACGAAAGCGUGGGGAUCAAACAGGAUUAGAUACCCCGGUAGG
Molecule: ribosomal RNA, 454 nt
Filed under: uncultured bacterium
Lineage: Bacteria
Description: bacterial SSU rRNA
Rfam family: Bacterial small subunit ribosomal RNA
Source: RNAcentral